RNAcentral lists this ribosomal RNA (974 nucleotides) under Salmonella enterica subsp. enterica serovar Kedougou. RNAcentral describes it as "partial 23S ribosomal RNA". It matches the Rfam family "Bacterial large subunit ribosomal RNA", at positions 1212 to 2167 of the family's 2925-position model. The record is from RNAcentral. Lineage: Bacteria; Pseudomonadati; Pseudomonadota; Gammaproteobacteria; Enterobacterales; Enterobacteriaceae.
GCUUAUGCGUUCGUUGGGUAGGGGAGCGUUCUGUAAGCCUGUGAAGGUGGCCUGUGAGGGUUGCUGGAGGUAUCAGAAGUGCGAAUGCUGACAUAAGUAACGAUAAAGCGGGUGAAAAGCCCGCUCGCCGGAAGACCAAGGGUUCCUGUCCAACGUUAAUCGGGGCAGGGUGAGUCGACCCCUAAGGCGAGGCCGAAAGGCGUAGUCGAUGGGAAACGGGUUAAUAUUCCCGUACUUGGUGUUACUGCGAAGGGGGGACGGAGAAGGCUAUGUUGGCCGGGCGACGGUUGUCCCGGUUUAAGCGUGUAGGUGUGUGUUCCAGGUAAAUCCGGUUCACUUUAACACUGAGGCGUGAUGACGAGGCACUACGGUGCUGAAGCAACAAAUGCCCUGCUUCCAGGAAAAGCCUCUAAGCAUCAGGUAACAUCAAAUCGUACCCCAAACCGACACAGGUGGUCAGGUAGAGAAUACCAAGGCGCUUGAGAGAACUCGGGUGAAGGAACUAGGCAAAAUGGUGCCGUAACUUCGGGAGAAGGCACGCUGACAUGUAGGUGAAGUGAUUUACUCAUGGAGCUGAAGUCAGUCGAAGAUACCAGCUGGCUGCAACUGUUUAUUAAAAACACAGCACUGUGCAAACACGAAAGUGGACGUAUACGGUGUGACGCCUGCCCGGUGCCGGAAGGUUAAUUGAUGGGGUCAGCGCAAGCGAAGCUCCUGAUCGAAGCCCCGGUAAACGGCGGCCGUAACUAUAACGGUCCUAAGGUAGCGAAAUUCCUUGUCGGGUAAGUUCCGACCUGCACGAAUGGCGUAAUGAUGGCCAGGCUGUCUCCACCCGAGACUCAGUGAAAUUGAACUCGCUGUGAAGAUGCAGUGUACCCGCGGCAAGACGGAAAGACCCCGUGAACCUUUACUAUAGCUUGACACUGAACAUUGAGCCUUGAUGUGUAGGAUAGGUGGGAGGCUUUGAAGUGUGG